Molecule: ribosomal RNA, 433 nt
Filed under: uncultured bacterium
Lineage: Bacteria
Description: partial 16S ribosomal RNA
Rfam family: Bacterial small subunit ribosomal RNA
Source: RNAcentral
AACGAACGCUGGCGGCAUGCCUAACACAUGCAAGUCGAACGAGACCUUCGGGUCUAGUGGCGCACGGGUGCGUAACGCGUGGGAAUCUACCCUCAGGUUCGGAAUAACUCAGAGAAAUUUGAGCUAAUACCGGAUGAUGACGUAAGUCCAAAGAUUUAUCGCCUGAGGAUGAGCCCGCGUAGGAUUAGGUAGUUGGUGAGGUAAAGGCUCACCAAGCCGACGAUCCUUAGCUGGUCUGAGAGGAUGAUCAGCCACACUGGGACUGAGACGCGGCCCAGACUCCUACGGGAGGCAGCAGUGGGGAAUAUUGGACUAUGGGCGAAAGCCUGAUGCAGCAAUGCCGCGUGAGUGAUGAAGGCCUUAGGGUUGUAAAGCUCUUUUACCCGGGAUGAUAAUGACAGUACCGGGAGAAUAAGCACCGGCUAACUCCGUG